GGCUCAGAUUGAACGCUGGCGGCAUGCCUUACACAUGCAAGUCGAACGGCAGCGCGGGGCAACCUGGCGGCGAGUGGCGAACGGGUGAGUAAUAUAUCGGAACAUACCCUAGAGUGGGGGAUAACGUAGCGAAAGUUACGCUAAUACCGCAUACGCACUAAGGUGGAAAGUGGGGGAUUCGCAAGAACCUCAUGCUCAUGGAGUGGCCGAUAUCUGAUUAGCUAGUUGGUGAGGUAAAGGCUCACCAAGGCGACGAUCAGUAGCUGGUUUGAGAGAACGACCAGCCACACUGGAACUGAGACACGGUCCAGACUCCUACGGGAGGCAGCAGUGGGGAAUUUUGGACAAUGGGGGCAACCCUGAUCCAGCAAUGCCGCGUGAGUGAAGAAGGCCUUCGGGUUGUAAAGCUCUUUUGUCAGGGAAGAAACGGUGAGUUCUAAUAAAGCUUGCUAAUGACGGUACCUGAAGAAUAAGCACCGGCUAACUACGUG
This 491-nucleotide ribosomal RNA is filed under the name uncultured bacterium. RNAcentral describes it as "bacterial SSU rRNA". It matches the Rfam family "Bacterial small subunit ribosomal RNA", at positions 21 to 507 of the family's 1533-position model. The record is from RNAcentral.